CCUACGGGAGGCAGCAGUGAGGAAUAUUGGUCAAUGGACGCAAGUCUGAACCAGCCAUGCCGCGUGCAGGAAGACGGCUCUCUGAGUUGUAAACUGCUUUUGUACGAGGGUAAACGCAGAUACGCGUAUCUGUCUGAAAGUGUCGUACGAAUAAGGAUCGGCUAACUCCGUGCCAGCAGCCGCGGUAAUACGGAGGAGUCAAGCGUUAUCCGGAUUUAUUGGGGUUAAAGGGUGCGUAGGCGGUCGGAUAAGUUAGAGGUGAAAUCCCGAGGCUCAACUUCGGAAUUGCCUCUGAUACUGUACGGCUAGAGAGUAGUUGCGGUAGGCGGAAUGUAUGGUGUAGCGGUGAAAUGCUUAGAGAUCAUACAGAACACCGAUUGCGAAGGCAGCUUACCAAGCUACUUCUGACGUUGAGGCACGAAAGCGUGGGGAGCAAACAGGAUUAGAUACCCUUGUAGUC
This 460-nucleotide ribosomal RNA is filed under the name uncultured bacterium. RNAcentral describes it as "partial 16S ribosomal RNA". It matches the Rfam family "Bacterial small subunit ribosomal RNA", at positions 338 to 795 of the family's 1533-position model. The record is from RNAcentral.